RNAcentral lists this long non-coding RNA (5617 nucleotides) under Pomacea canaliculata. RNAcentral describes it as "uncharacterized LOC112556720". Lineage: Eukaryota; Metazoa; Mollusca; Gastropoda; Architaenioglossa; Ampullariidae. The record is from RNAcentral.
UAAACUUAUAUAAAUCAUGUUGAAAUGAGAAACGUUAAUGUAUUUAACUUCUAUUUUCUCUCAAAUGCAUUAGCACAAAUUAUUAUGGAUCUAUGUCAACGUGUAAAUGAUUUGAGUGGAGUAUUAUCUGUCUAUAAUGAUUUAAUUCCGUCAUAUAGCAGCAGUGGCAUCAACAUCAGCAAAUAAUCAGUAGAAUCUGCCUAAAGCGAAAAUGGUGUAUUUUUAUAUCAGAUUUCUUUGCUUUGUGAUUAUAUUUGCAACGCAUAAAUGUUGUGUAUUUUUUUUAAAUGCUACUGUGGUAUUUAGGGAAGACAUUAAUUGUACGUAAUAUAUUUUUUGUUUCUGAGCUAAUUACAGUCAAAUGUGGAUUAUAUGUGAUCACUAUAUAUAAACCCUCACCCAUAGAGCUCCUCUCUCACACACACAAGCACACUCUUGUUUCUGACUGAUGAUAUAAAAGCCCUAAGGAAUGACAGAAAUAAAAUAAUAAUAAUAGUUUAUGGACAUUAUUUUAUUUUAAUCCUAUAUGUCGUUGUUUGUGUGCGUAAGAGAUCAGAGAGGUUUCUUUAAAAGUGUCGCCUAUUUACGGCGAUUUCUCACUUUUUCUAUCAGUCAUUAUUAUUAAUAAUAUCGACCUCAGUUUAAGUUCGCUGCUGAUAUUUUACUCUUGUGGCAUUCUGCUACUACUUACAUGUGCGAUUCAGCGACAGCAAUUAAUAUUGUACAUGAAUACAUUAAACUUAUAUAUGGUCCGUUUUGCGCUUUAGUUCCAUUCUUGUGCACGCAACUAACGCAAGUACGUGCACACACACACACUUUAUUUACUUUUAUUGUUGUGCCCAGUUGGCCACGAUUGCAUGUCGCGCCGCUGUCUACAGAUUGAUAUAUAGUCAAACUCCAGGGAAGGAUCACUAAGAUCAGUGGGGAAGGAUCCAGGAAGGGAGACACGGAAGUCCGUUAACAACAAGUGAGAGAAGCGCACACGUCACGUUGGUAAAGCGAGAGUCGCGCUCAGGCUGCGAACUAUUUUGCCAUACCCAUGUCGCCCUCGGCGAUGCCUGCAAAUUGCAGCAGAAGCGACAUAGAGUGUUGUUAUCUUAAAUCAAGGCAGAAAGGUAUCACUGGGAUUCAUCAAUGUGAACAACACAUCUAGUCAUGCUUUCGUAAAUCAGGAAAAGAGAGCUACUUAAUAAUGUGGAUUGACACUUCCCCGUUGAGAAACGCGAAUCUACUUAAAGUCUCUUGUGCAGCUGCCAUCGGCUACAUCGAUCUCGUGCGUUUCACGCGCGUGAUAAUGUGAGUUUAGGAGCAGAGUUUGUCAGCCCAGCCAGUGGAGGGAAAGCGAUUGUCACGCUUCGAAGAAUCGUCAACUGGAAACUGUCACGAGAAGAGGGAGUGUGUGUGAGUGAGAAUGUUAAAAAAAAAAAAAAUCCCCUACGUUCACAACGUUCGCUACGUCGUGGCGUGGUCGACGUUCACCAGGGGCUGGCGAACUGUGCCGUUGGUGUUAAGGUCAAUCAGCUGGCGGCACACCCAUUGUGUGCCGAAACUGAUUUCGCUGAUGGGUGUUGCCAUAAGUGCUCUUAAGAUAUGGGUUUCCGUUCUUGCUAUGGCUGUGCGGCGGCAUUUUGUGCGCUCAGCGCGCGCACGCACAGACACACGCGCGCGCGAGCAGUGAUGAGGGCCGCGCCUUCGAUCGCCACGUUCCGCAGCAGCAGGGAGUUUAAAAGGCCUUCAGCAAGCUACAAAGCAGAACUCCAUCCUGCACGACUUGGACUAACAACGACUACGAGAGCAACGACACACACACACAAAAGACAACGACGACGAUCAUGAUGGUAAUGGUGACAGAAACAUCCAUAAAACCAUAAAAAUGAAGAAAAAAAUAUCUACCAUAUCACGGAAACUUAAAAUUCAGAUACUUCAAAUGCAUAUAGAAAACAUAGACCCCUCCAGUUCCCACGCCGCCAAAACCAGUCACGACGUCUCACCCUCUCACUCACCGUGAGGUGGAAGCACUUUCCCUUUAUACCAGCCAGUCAUUGAGGUUCAAGCAGACGGCAGUCAGGCCACAGUUUGUCAGCGCCCUCCUUUGCUGAACUAUGGCACUCGACGUCACUCGCUUUCCACCAAAGAAAAACAAGACCAAAGCAACCACAGGUCAAGUCGGCCUCGUCGUUUGUUUACGUCGGACAUCUUUAUUCUAUGAACCCUAUUGUGUCAGCAACCUGUAUUUUUUGUUGUUCGUCAUGUGAAAAUAUUGCAUGGUGUGUACAUUCAAAUCUCAUGUUUAUGAUUUCGAAUUCUUUUAAUUUUUCAUAACCUUAAAUUGUGAAAUUUCGAUUAGGUGUAACUUAGAGGAUUUCAGAAAAAUCGUUUCUUAUUUACCAUGACCGCAUCCCCAAGGAUCAUCUGCAUAAGAACUAAAAAAUAUGAUACUACCACAGGGGUUAUUUGGCUUUUGCAAGUGGUGGCACUUCUGCGUGAGUAAGCUUAGCUGUUUUAAACUGAAACAGUUUUCAGAUGCAAAUUUAAAACAGGCUUCAGACACUCAACAGAUAUGUUGAAACCAUGAAUCUAUGCAUGUCCGGGGUUGAAAUCGCGUGUCUUUGUCUCCCCAAGUAUUUAAAGUUUUUCCAUCACUUGCAAGGGAAAGAAAUGAGUCUCGCCUCUAUAGCACAUCUAUUAUCAUUUUACAGAACGGCACACAACAGUGCCUGUGUGCAAUUUCAUUUUUCUUUCUGAAGCUCUGGUGCAUUUUUACUCAUAACCAUGAGGCCUCAUUCUGGAACGCCAGAAGAGCGGGGCGUGAAUAAUUAAAAGGUCUAUGAACGAGGGAUGUGGCGCCCUGGUUAAAACACUUAUCACCAUCGCAGUAGAGGUUCAGAUCUCGUGUCGGGCCACACUGUGACACCUGUUAGCAGGACCAAGUAUCAGAAGUUUUCUCUCUCCAUAGUGCGAAAUCACUUCAAGGUGGAAGCACUUUCCCACUAAGCAAACCAACCAACCGGUGGUUGGAGUACCAUUUCUAUGAAAGGCCUUCUUCACAUAUUUAAAAAAAAAGUAAAGGUUGUCCCAUAACCUUUUGUAGGGCGCUGGAUGGUCGAGGGUUUGGUUUCAGAAACUACGAUUUCCCCGGGGUGCCAGCUUUUAUAUAUAUAUUUUUGGAUGGUGCCCAUUUCCUCUCCCUCUCGAUGCUUUAGUUUCCCCAACCUCAGCCAUUCCCGAAAGCUGGAUCGGCUUAGGGAAGUUCGAUGCGUUAAACUGGUAUCGAACCAGUCCUUCUCCGAGUUCAGACGCCAGUACUUUAACUACUAGGCUAUCCAGCUAGCUACUAUACCCCACCGGAUCUGGCCCGCCUGACAAUGUCGUAUAAUGGCAGCACGAGACGACCAUAAAUAGCUUCAGUUGUUUGAAUACUCAAGUCUACUCGUGUUUUUUUUAAAUGAGGAGGAGGGGGAAUGAUCAGCGCUCACUCACAGCUAUUGGUUACUUUGCUUCCAGAGAUCAUACUUGGUUUUUCUCUGUUAAGGCUGAACCAGUAAUGCCAGACUACAAAUGUGUCAUUUCAAAAAUAAAAUGAGGGUGGGAGGGUUUUAAGUAAGAUUUAGACAACUAAGUACAACUAAAAGCAUCCCAGCAGGUAAUAAGAUGGAAAAGUAGGUUUAAGGAUGAAAGAGACUAGAGGUGAUUAAACUAUCUAAAGCAACAGAAGCCAGGCUAUUUAUAAUUGUCUACCACUGCAUGCGUUAGGUAAGUUUCCUCUUCUGUCAUUAAUUUUAGCCCUUGCAGAUAUGUUGUGUCUCUGCAUUGAGAGAAUAACAUUAGACCCGGAAGACAAACCCGCCCUGGCCUAAAUAAAUUAAGAAGACCUUUAUGGGAGAAGAGCUUCUUGGGAUUCCAUAACUCCAUGACUCAUUUUAUUGAUAAGACAAAACUCACUUCAUCAGUUAAUCAUCUCAUACUAUAAAAAAAUAAUUUAUCUAAAUCUGCUUCAGUAUCAUAGACAAAUUUUUGGUUGUUUCACAGCAUACUUGAACAUGCAGACGUGAACAUGCAAAUCACAAAUAUUUCAUGAGUAUAUUCUUUUUAAGACUAGCAUUAAAGAACACCUGCUGUGACAUGCGUUCAAAGGGCAGUCACUGGAACUACAAGUGUUAGAAGUCUUAAUCGUCAUUUAAAAAUGUACCUAAAACAGUCUUUGUCCAGUUUUAUAUGUAAAAGUUGAAUUCUCUGCACGUUUUUUUCAAUAAGUACUUUGUAACAAACAACACUAGAAAUUAAGACAGAGAUAUUUUCUUGCCUGGUUAUUUAAUUAGAAAAAUAGAAAUUGAAAAAUAAAUGUGCAUUUUUCAUCACAGGAAAUUUUGUUCUGUGUAACAGAGUUAAUAAGCACAUACUUAAAACAAAGUAAUGCUGAGAACAUUCAUCCUUACAUGUGUAAAAUACACCAACUUCCUGUUUCCUAUUUAAGAUUUUAAUUAUUUCCAGUGCAUGCUGCCUCCAGUUGUGGUCCCUUUGCAUUGAUCAAACCAGGUCAAGGUAUAAUUAUAUAUACACAUUGCAUAUAUAGACCAAUUAAAACAUCCUUUAAAAUACACCAUAUACAAUCAACUAACUGUUUCAAAAUUAUUUCAUACUGUAUCAUUCAUUUCAAUGCUGUUUGCAUAUUUCUGUACAGUGACCUUUUUGCCCUGAAUGUUGAUUUUUGUCUUUUUAUUUAGUUGUUUAAUAAGAUUAAGUAAUGGUUCAUCUUGAUGACCCUAAGAGAUAUGCCGACAGGAGCAUCAUCUCCUAGCAGGGUCACCCAUGUCGGACAGGUCAAAGGGUAGAGACCAGACAAAGAGUGGUCCACGAGUGCUGAAGUCGGAGGUGGUGGGCCACAAGGCGCACUCCGAAACAACCACAUCACCACGCAACACUGCCAAUAUGACACUUGGAGACAGAAUUGACAGAAAUGGUGCUCGCCCUGUGAAGAUCCGCCAGGCGGGUGCAGUGCCGGGCUCUGUGCCUCAAAGGCCACAGUCGGAGACCCUGCACAACAAGCUGUACGGGCCAGCGGAGACUCUACAGAAGUCCACCAGUUUCAUCUCAAGAGCUGGUCUCCAAGUGUAACAGGCAAACGACACAAAAAAAGAAAAAAGUGCUGCAACCACAUUAAAUGCAGUUUAUUCUGUGCUCUGCAGACCUCGUUAUUAAUAUUAUUUUAAUAUAUUAAAAUAUAUUAUUGGUUUUAUAUUAUUAUAAAAAUCUUACAUUUUUUACUGUGUCCAUGACUAAAAUCUGUACAUAAAGAAAGCUACAGUCUCCCGUGUCUUUUCUGUCUUUUUUAUUUCAUCUUUUGGGACCAACAUCCUCUGAGCAAACAACAACAGAAGAGAUAUAUGGUAGUUAUUAAACAUUUUCUCAGUGAUGUUAAUUUGUGAAAGAUGUUAAUAUUAGGGAGAGGUUUUUGUUGAUAUAGCAUUAUGCCAAAACAAAUUUAUUCUCACUGAAUAUUUUGCUGAAUUUUACAUUGCCUAAAAAGCUUUACUAGUUUCAUGGACUAUACACCUUCAACUCCCUGUUCUAAUUACUCUGAAUUUUCUUUGGUGUCACCUAGUCAUUGUUAACAUUU